RNAcentral lists this ribosomal RNA (252 nucleotides) under uncultured prokaryote. RNAcentral describes it as "partial 16S rRNA". It matches the Rfam family "Bacterial small subunit ribosomal RNA", at positions 525 to 775 of the family's 1533-position model. The record is from RNAcentral.
ACAUGUGGGGCAAGCGUUGUUCGGAAUCACUGGGCAUAAAGGGUGCGUAGGCGGCAUGACACGUCCUGGGUGAAAUCCUGCGGCCCAACCGCGGGUCUGCCUGGGAUACGGUCAAGCUGGAGUGCGUGAGGGGUGACUGGAACGCGUGGUGUAGCGGUGAAAUGCGUAGAUAUCACGCGGAAGGCCAACGGGGAAGGCAAGUCACUGGCACGCAACUGACGCGGAGUGCACGAAAGCGUGGGGAGCAAACAG